Molecule: long non-coding RNA, 306 nt
Filed under: Rattus norvegicus (Norway rat)
Lineage: Eukaryota; Metazoa; Chordata; Mammalia; Rodentia; Muridae
Description: long non-coding RNA NONRATT030138
Source: RNAcentral
UGGGACUAGACGCUUUGGAGUGUUACAGCGAUGAAGAUGCCUAGGCUCCCAGUUCAUCCACGCUCUGCUUGGUUCUGUAGACUCACGGGAUCCUAGAUAUUAAUGGAGCUCCCGUGGGUAUUUCUCAGGGCCCUCAGCGCAGCAUUAGCCGUUUGCUGGUACAACUCCUACAGGCGUGCAUACAACGUCCGCUGGGACCCCAUGUGCCCUGGCCAUCCUAUAUCCCUGACAGGAAGCUCAGCGAUGACACAUUUUCAGAUGCUUGCCAGUGAAAACCAAAAGAAGAGAAAAGAAAAAAAAGGAAAA